UUUGCAAAUCAAUAAGCGGAGGAAAGAAACAACCUGCCUUAGUAACGGCGAGUGAAGCGGCAAAAGCUCAAAUUUGAAAUCUGGUACCUUCGGUGCCCGAGUUGUAAUUUGGAGAGGGCAACUUUGGGGCCGUUCCUUGUCUAUGUUCCUUGGAACAGGACGUCAUAGAGGGUGAGAAUCCCGUGUGGCGAGGAGUGCGGUUCUUUGUAAAGUGCCUUCGAAGAGUCGAGUUGUUUGGGAAUGCAGCUCUAAGUGGGUGGUAAAUUCCAUCUAAAGCUAAAUAUUGGCGAGAGACCGAUAGCGAACAAGUACAGUGAUGGAAAGAUGAAAAGAACUUUGAAAAGAGAGUGAAAAAGUACGUGAAAUUGUUGAAAGGGAAGGGCAUUUGAUCAGACAUGGUGUUUUGUGCCCUCUGCUCCUUGUGGGUAGGGGAAUCUCGCAUUUCACUGGGCCAGCAUCAGUUUUGGUGGCAGGAUAAAUCCAUAGGAAUGUAGCUUGCCUCGGUAAGUAUUAUAGCCUGUGGGAAUACUGCCAGCUGGGACUGAGGACUGCGACGUAAGUCAAGGAUGCUGGCAUAAUGGUUAUAUGCCGCCCGUCUUGAAACACGGACCCA
Molecule: ribosomal RNA, 613 nt
Filed under: Saccharomyces cerevisiae (brewer's yeast)
Lineage: Eukaryota; Fungi; Ascomycota; Saccharomycetes; Saccharomycetales; Saccharomycetaceae
Description: LSU rRNA
Rfam family: Eukaryotic large subunit ribosomal RNA
Source: RNAcentral